GCCUGUUUAGCCCAGUGGUAAAACGCGCCACUUGUAAGCCUCUGAUUCUAAGCGCUCGUGUGAGGUCGGUUGAUCAAUCCAGCCAGCGGGCA
Molecule: non-coding RNA, 92 nt
Organism: Hermanssonia centrifuga
Lineage: Eukaryota; Fungi; Basidiomycota; Agaricomycetes; Polyporales; Meruliaceae
Source: the annotation of a GenBank genome assembly